CCAGACUCCUACGGGAGGCAGCAGUGGGGAAUAUUGCACAAUGGGGGAAACCCUGAUGCAGCAACGCCGCGUGAGUGAAGAAGUAUUUCGGUAUGUAAAGCUCUAUCAGCAGGGAAGAAGAUGACGGUACCUGACUAAGAAGCCCUGGCUAACUACGUGCCAGCAGCCGCGGUAAUACGUAGGGGGCAAGCGUUAUCCGGAUUUACUGGGUGUAAAGGGAGCGUAGACGGCGAUGCAAGCCAGAUGUGAAAGCCCGGGGCUCAACCCCGGGACUGCUCUUGGAACUGCGCGGCUGGAGUGCAGGAGGGGCAGGCGGAAUUCCUGGUGUAGCGGUGAAAUGCGUAGAUAUUAGGAAGAACACCAGUGGCGAAGGCGGCUUUCUGGACUGAAACUGACGCUGAGGCACGAAAGCGUGGGGAGCGAACAGGAUUAGAUACCCCCGUA
This 444-nucleotide ribosomal RNA is filed under the name uncultured bacterium. RNAcentral describes it as "bacterial SSU rRNA". It matches the Rfam family "Bacterial small subunit ribosomal RNA", at positions 331 to 792 of the family's 1533-position model. The record is from RNAcentral.